CGCCUCUUGCCCUCAUAAGAGGUCCAGCCUGCCCAGUGACCCAAUUCAACGGCCGCGGUAUCCUGACCGUGCGAAGGUAGCGUAAUCACUUGUUCUUUAAAUAAGGACUAGUAUGAACGGCAUCACGAAGGCUGUACUGUCUCCCGCCUUUAAUCAGUGAAAUUAAUCUCCCCGUGAAGAAGCGGGGAUGAAACCAUAAGACGAGAAGACCCCAUGGAGCUUUAAACAAAGGGCAUUUACUAACCCAUAACAAGUUAAGCAUUAUGACCCCUAGUUUUUGGUUGGGGCGACCACGGAGAACAACCCACCCUCCAUGCUGAAAGAUAUAAUCUUAGCCUAAAACAACCCAUUUAAGCAUUAGAAUCCUAACACCCAUUGACCCAAUUCACUUGAUCAACGAACCAAGUUACCCUGGGGAUAACAGCGCAAUCCACUUCAAGAGCCCCUAUCGACAAGUGGGUUUACGACCUCGAUGUUGGAUCAGGGUACCCAAGUGGUGCAGCCGCUACUAACGGUUCGUUUGUUCAACGAUUAAAACCCU
Molecule: ribosomal RNA, 541 nt
Filed under: Uperoleia laevigata (smooth toadlet)
Lineage: Eukaryota; Metazoa; Chordata; Amphibia; Anura; Myobatrachidae
Description: partial 16S ribosomal RNA
Rfam family: Bacterial large subunit ribosomal RNA
Source: RNAcentral